CCCCUGACUAAGCUGGCUGGAGUCUGACUACAUCUGGAGAGCCACAGGUUAGUUCCAGGCAAGGUGGUGAGUAGGUGGAGCAGAGUCUUCUCCCUCCCAGAUUAAAAAUCUGGGUUGGAGAAAAACUUGGGGUGUGUGGUGGCACUAAGUGCAUUGCUCACCUUAUAUUUCAGGUGAGCAUCAUGUUACUACAACCAUCAGUGGGAUCUUAGACAGGACUCUUGCUCCACAGGGUUUAAUCCGGCACUGCCCAUCAGCCCCAGACAGUAUGGCCAAUUGUGAGGGAUGACAGGAGUCACAGUCCAAGGCAUCUAGAGGACAUAAGGUUGGGGAAGGAUGCCUGACUCUCAGCCCAGAUGAUACAGGAGGUAAAUAACCCUUUCCUGAUCAUUGUCCAGAAGCCUGACAUUAGAUGGCUAUUUUGUUGAAUAAAUACCAGAUAUCAUGCCAGGCUGUUCAUUUCCCUGCCUUCUCCCCUGUGUUUGAUGUCUUGUCCUGCAAAUACCACCACCUGAUCUUGACAUACACUUCCCCCUUUUAAAAGCAAACUUCCCAUCCAAAAACGUUUCAUUUGCUCCCUACAUUUACUUUGAUCUCUUCCCUGAAUGUUUAAUCUCUUCUCAUUGUAUUACGGGCUUGUAAUCCUGUUUUACAUCCUGCUAUCUAUUUCCAAAUUUUUUGUAUAAAUUUGCUAUUCAACGUGACAUUUACACAGCACUAAGGCAGUGCUGUCGUAUUUACAAGAGAAAGAGCUACAGUGGAAAAUCAACACCAAAGACAAAAUUGCUGUUUGGGGGCGAGGAAGCCUGCCAUAACUUUGUUUAAUUUUUAAGACCCUUUGGAUGGGAACAACUCUCUCUCUCUCUUUCUCUCUUUAGAAAAAAAAUAAUAUCUUUCAUUAUUUCUCCUGUGAGCAAUCAGGACAACCACCAGAAGGAUGCAAAUGUAUUUGUUUUGCUUUGGUUGCUGUGAAAAGAGUCAGAGGAGGGAAAGCACACUGUCAAAUGCAGCAUGCAUUAAAAGAGAAAACACAGCACCAUCCCAAAUGGUUGAAGAAGGGCUGUGGCUCAGUGAUAAAUCGUAUGCUUUGCACACACAACCGAGUAAUGUAGGCAGUUGCCUUAUACUGAAUCAGUCCUUUGGUCCAUCUAGCCCAGUAUUGUCCACACUGACUAGCAGCCGCUCUCCAGGAUUUCAAGUAGGGGUCUUUCCUAGCUCUGAGAUGCCAUUGGAGAUUGAGCUUGGGAACUUCUGCAGGCAUAGAAGAUGCUCCAGCACUGAAGUAUAGCUUUUUCCUAAAGACUUAAAGCCAUAGGUAAAGGUAAAGGGACCCCUGACCAUUAGGUCCAGUCGUGACCGACUCUGGGGUUGCAGUGCUCAUCUCGCUUUACUGGCUGAGGGAGCCGGCGUAUAGCUUCCAGGUCAUGUGGCCAGCAUGGCUAAGCCGCUUCUGGUGAACCAGAGCAGCGCAUGGAAAUGCUGUUUACCUUCCUGCCGGAGCCGUACCUAUUUAUCUACUUGCACUUUGAUGUGCUUUCGAACUGCUAUGUUGGCAGGAGCAGGGACUGAGCAACGGGAGCUCACCCUGUUGCGGGGAUUCAAACCGCCGACCUUCUGAUCGGCAAGCCCUAGGCUCUGUGGUUUAACCCAUAGGAAGCUAUUUUACACUGAGUCAGAUCAUUGUCCCAUCAAAUUUAGUAUUGACAAUACUGACUGGCUGCCUUUCUCCAGGAUUUCCUGUGGGGUUUCUUUGUACCUGGAGAUGCCAGGGAUUCAACUGGGACCUUGCAAAGCAGAUGCUCUAUUAUUGAGCCAUGUCCAUGUCCCUAAAUUUGACCCCCGGAAUUCCUCAUGAAAGAAUCUCAUUCUCUCCAGGCUAUAAUCCUGAUCUGCCUUGCUCCACACCCUCCUCAAGUGCUUUUUCCUGACUGGAAUGUGUCAUUGGAACUAUGUUGAUGUCUCUUACUCACCCGGGUGGAAAGAUGCACAUAUAUGUGUAGAAACCUUGGCAACUUUUGGGUAGCCAGAGCAGGGGGAGGAGGUUGGGCUCACCCCCCCCCACAAAUUGUGGGUGCCUGGGCCCCCAGGGCCCCUAGGAGUUGGUGCCAGUGAUCCUGGCUGUCCUUUGAGUACUUCUAGACAAGAAGAGGCUUCCUGUUCAGCCUGAGAGUCUGACUGGGCAGCAACAAGGCUUCUUGGCUCUGUUGUGUUCUGGUCUGCUCCUUGGAAUCAUCGGUUGUCUUGAUCUCCACUAGAGUAGAAGUGGGGUAGGGAUAAAAACACCUUAGGCCCAGGGGCAACAUGUGGCCCUGCGGGUCUCUUUAUCUGGCCCUUGGAACUGUCCUAAGGCCACAGCUCUUACCGACUUUGCUUUGCACUCCAUGUGUUUUGUGUGGCUGAACUGCAUCCUAAUAAUGUCUUCUGCUUUCCUGGAGGAAGAAUAGAGAGGGGUUUGUGAAGGUAUAGAAACUAGCCUACCAUGCAAAGGUAAAAUUUAUACCAAUUGCUCCACCCAUUUUUUUGCUUCUGGAAUAGGAUGUGGUCCUUAGGAUGGAAAAGGUUCUGCACAAUUCUUGGCUCCUGGUUGCAUUCUGACAGCUGCCUAUAACUCCACCCUGACAAUCAUCCCCUGUGAUGUAGAGGCACAAUGAAGCUUAGUGCAUAAAUGCUAUGGACUUGACCAUCUGCCUGUGCUCAUCAAUGGAGCAGUACCUUCUGCUUGGUUUGCAAUAGGCUCCUGUCCAAGUCCUACCUCUGGCUCCAACUCCGGCAGAUUACUGCACGGAUUUUGGAGUAGAGACCAGGUACUCCAUCUUUAAAUUGGGUCUGCCUGCCUCUGACCCUCCCUUUUGCCACUGCACACCAAAUGUGGUUGCAUUCUUCAGGCUCUCCGGGUUUAUGGACAGGGUUAAAUACUUUUAGAGGCUUGCUGAAUGACAACAUGGAAACAAAUAAUCCCCAACCUUCACUUUGCUCCUUCCAACAACCCCAUCAAGCAGCCACUACUCAAUGAGCAGAUUAAUGCAUUCAGAUGGUGGCAUAAUGGAGAGGAAAUUCAGUGUCUAAAUGAACGGAUUGUGCAGGACUAUAAAGAUGAGUUAUGGCAUCUCCUCUUUGAAAACUCCUUUUAGCUUAAAAAAUAUUGCUCCUAGCUAAAAGGGGGGUGGGGAGGAAAAGCGGAAGUAUAUAGAUUUCACAGGCUAGCCUGUGAGCACGCACCCAACACAACUGUCGGGGCUGAAAUUGCUUCAUAUAUCAUCGGCCAACACCAAGUAGAUAAUGGGAAACAAGUUCUGAUCUGGGAGAGAUUAUGGUUGCUGAUUUGGAGCAAUGAUGGACAGAGCAGAGCAUCUGCAGUGUGGUCCUCUUAAACCAGGUUGACCUCACAUGGCGGAGAUUAACAAUCAGUUUGCAUUGACCAGCUCAAAUGAGGUGUCAUCAUGAUGGAGAAGCCAUCAGAGGAGUCAAUCAUCUUUAUCUCUCAUUCUCUUUCAAACUAGAUUGUCUCCUCCUCGGCUUCUUUUGCUGGAGGUAUGUGUGAGUGGUUUAAAAAGAAAAAGACAAAAAAACUCCUUUGCCUUGCUGUCAGAACAUGAACUGCAUAGAAAAUUACCCCUCCCUGUGUUGGAAAAUCUGUGUUCAGAUGAGUUAUCAAAAUGCAGACGCUAGAAGAAAUGGGAAGGAAAAUUGUGGGGGGGGGGGGAAGGAAGGAUAUGAUUGGCUAAUUUAUUUUAAUGUCAGCUUGCUCUUCUCCACCUAAUCUGAUGUGAUAUUCAAACAUUGUGGUAAUUUUCCAUUGUAUGGAGGACUUUAUUAUCUUGGGGGGGGGGUGUAGUCACUGUUUUUAUUUUGCUCAUGCAAGGGGGGGGGGGAAGUUGCCAGUGCAGAUUUACAAGAAGAAGAAGAAGAAGAAGAAGAAGAAGAAGAAGAAGAAGAAGAAGAAGAAGAAACAACACCCAUCCUUGGUAUUAAUCUAUCUGUAUUAGAUAUCUAUCUAUCUAAUCUAUCUAUCAGGGGUUUUAAGAGCUGAAGUCUGCUGAAGAGUGGUUAGUAACUAUGAGUGAUUUCAGAUGGCUCACAAAGUUGUCUUUAAGACCCUCCAUUCUUCAUGCAGGCAAAAUAUUCAGCUGCUUUCCUUUCAGACUUACAUUUGGGGGGGGGGUACAGUGAACCUCUUCAUUGAUUUUUUAAAAGAGAAUAAAUUAAAGCUCUAGCAAAGUGAGUAGAACAGCUAAUAAUAAUAAUAAUAAUAAUAAUAAUAAUAAUAAUAAUAUAUUUCUACCCCGCCAAUAUGGCUGGGUUUCCCCAGCCACUCUGAGCAGCUUCUAUCAGAAGAUUAAAAAUACAUUAAAACAUCAGUCAUUAAAAACUUCCCUAAACAAGGCUGCCUUCAGAUGUCUUCUAAAAGUCAGGUAGUUGUUUAUUUCCUUGACAUCUGAUGAGAGGGUGUUUCACAGGGCAGGUGCCACAGCUGAGAAGGCCCUCUGCCUAGUUCCCUGUAACUUGGCUUCUCGCAGUGAGGGAACCACCAGAAGGCCCUUGGCACUGGACCUCAGAAUAAAGGUGUUGGGGAGGGGAAGGGGAAAAUACAGAAAGCAAAUAAGUGAGACCAUUCAGUGGGGUUGCCAUAUUUUGAAGAGCAAAAAAAGGGACACAUUUGCCGACUUCUAGUUUUAACUAUGGAUCACUAUGACGACUCUCAUUUUUAUAUACCCAUGAAAAUGAGGACGUGUCCUGAAAAAAGAGGACAUAUGGCGACCCUACCAUUCAGUAAAAUUGUUAAUUGAAUCAUCUGGCAUUAUCUGUGUGGAUUGAAAUUCCUCCCUGCAAGUAUUUAGGGUUGGAAACCAUUUUUUAUAAAUAAAAUAAAAGUCAAGAUUCUAAGGAUGGUAAGUUGUGCAGAUUUAAUGUGCUCACAGAUGACAUAAAAGCACACUCAACUUCGAUAGUCAUUAGGAAAUGCAAGGGGCCUCUGGAAGUGUCAUGCUAAAGGGUUGCUGCAGAUAUCCCUGCAAAAACAAACAUGGACAUACAUAAGACUAUGCAGUGGAUUACUCUACAUGGGUUUGCCUUUGAAGACGAUUCUGAAAUUUCAGCUGGCUCAGAACUUUCAGCAUUUCUUUAUUUUGUUCACGAAUCACUUUCCAUAAAACAUCCCCAAGCAAUUUCACAAUGGAAACAUCAACAAUGAAAGCAUUUAGAAAGACAAUUCCUAGGCCAAUGAAGAUAAAGACUGGGAUAAAUAUAUCCACUUAAAAGGCUGGUUGGAAGAGGAAAGUCUUCAACAGUCUCUCAAGAGACCACAAAGAUAGUGCCUCUAUGAUAUAUAAUGUAAUGGAGUUCCAAUGGGUGAAUUAGUAAGAAAUUAAAUAUAUAUGGAUGAGACAAUGUUUUAGCCAAUGUUCAUUGGCUACUGGUUCAUUUUGGGUCACAGUUCAAAGUGCUAGUUUUGACUUAUGAAGCCUUAAACAAUUUUGAGGUAGGUUACCUGAAGAAUUUUCAACUCCCGUGCAAACCUGAGAGAAAUUUUGAGAUGUUUGAGAAAGGGACUUCUCUCCACCCAACAAUUAUCCUAUGUGCUUCUCAGUAGCCUGGACAAAGUAUUGAAACAACUGGAGCAAUUAUCCAAGGAAGCUCUUCUUAUCUCUCUAUCUCAGGGGUGGGGAACUUUCAACCUAUGAGCCUAACUAGGUCUAGACAAGCUUUAAUUUUUGUGAGCCACCUCCAGUCCUGGUUCUCGGGGAAAGGCAGGAAAUGAAUGAAUGAAUGAAUGAAUGAAUACAAACACAUCAUCAACAAACCCUGUUCCUUUGCCUGUAUAGUUUUAUUUCAAACCACCUGAGAAAAGGAAGUGAGCUAUUUAAAGGUGCCACCAAUCAGCUUAUCGCCAACACUUGAAAUCACCUGUGCAUGUGCCCAUGCAGUUUGAAACACAAGCGAAGAAAAAUGUCUCAACUGAUGCCACGGCAACGUCAGACUGCCCACUUGUCAAAAUGGUUUACAAGGCCUGUUGGAGGUCAGGAUCUGGUCUACUGGUCAGAUCCAGUUCCUCAUUCCUGCCAUAUUUGUCAGCAAGUAAAAAGUGCUUUUUUUAUUAUUAUUUAGACAGGCCUGUGGCCUGUGAGUUUAUCUGAAGUCGUUGUUGCUCAUUUUGAUAAGAUUUAAUUGGUUGUUCUUUUUACUGACUUGGAUUUAUUGCUGGUCUAUCUUUCUAUCUGUGCUAGAUAUGUAAUGGGAACAUUGUGUACUUGUGUCAGAUCUAGUCACUUUUGUUCUCUCUUUCUCCUUAAGGAUGGGUGGAAGUGGAAACCAUGACUGCUCAAAAUAUGGUGCUGAUAGACAGCUCUUACCUCAGCUUUUGUUUUUUUAAUCAGAGAAUUCUGACUGGUGCUGAUGGACAGCUCUUCAUAACCCGCUGUUAUCCUGCUAGAAAGAAGACACAAAUCCCAGCAAACCAAUACAAACCAGGCAAAGACAUUUUACUCCCCUCCUUUGCAACUAGAUCUGGAGGAUUUAAUUAAGUGACUGUUACUAGCUAGAGCUGGCACUCGUGGCCCAGGAAAUCCAAUACGUCAAGAGUUGACUCACCAAAGUAGCAGAGAGGGCCUCACCAUUCCAAAUCUGAACCAGAGGCCAAAACUGGAUAAACAAGGGUGUGGGCAGAACAGGGAAAAGGUACAGACACAUCCCCCCAAGCAAGAGAUGAGCAUGUUCACUGCAGAAAUACUAGACAGAUGGAAGAUAGUUGGGUUUGGAUUGAUAGAAAUAAAUUGACAUAUUAGAAAUGGCUAUGCAGAAGAUGAACCAGAGACCAAAUUGCAAACAUGCGCUGGAUAAUGGAGAAAGCUAGAGACUUCCAGAAAGACAUCUACUUCUGCUUCAUUGACUAUGCAAAAGCCUUUGACUGUGUUGACCACAGCAAACUAUGGCAAGUUCUUAAAGAAAUGGGAGUGCCAGAUCACCUCAUCUGUCUCCUGAGAAAUCUCUAUGUGGGACAAGAAGCUACAGUUAGAACUGGAUAUGGAACAACUGAUUGGUUCAAAAUUGGGAAAGGAGUACAACAAGGCUGUAUAUUGUCUCCCUGCUUAUUUAACUUAUAUGCAGAAUUCAUCAUGCGAAAGGCUGGGCUGGAUGAAUCCCUAGCUGGAAUUAAGAUUGCAGGAAGAAACGUCAACAGCCUCAGAUAUGCAGAUGACACAACCUUGAUGGCAGAAAGUGAGGAAGAAUUAAAAAACCUUUUAAUGAGGGUGAAAGAGGAGAGUGCAAAAUAUGGUCUGAAGCUCAACAUGAAAAAAAUGAAGAUCAUGGCCACUGGUCCCAUCACCUCCUGGCAAAUAGAAGGGGAAGAAAUGGAGGCAGUGAGAGAUUUUACUUUCUUGAGCUCCAUGAUCACUGCAGAUGGUGACAGCAGUCACAAAAUUAAAAGACGCCUGCUUCUUGGGAGGAAAGCAAUGACAAAGCUAGACAGCAUCUUAAAAAGCAGAGACAUCACCUUGCCAACAAAGAUCCGUAUAGUUAAAGCUAUGGUUUUCCUAGUAGUGAUGUAUGGAAGUGAGAGCUGGACCAUAAAGAAGGCUGAUCACUGAAGAAUUUAUGCUUUUGAAUUAUGGUGUUGAAGGAGACUCUUGAGAGUCCCAUGGACUGCAAGAAGAUCAAACCUAUGCAUUCUGAAGGAAAUCAGCCCUGAGUGCUCACUGGAAGGACAGAUCGUGAAGCUGAGGCUCCAAUACUUUGGCCACCUCAUGAGAAGAGAAGACUCCCUGGAAAAGACCCUGAUGUUGGGAAAGAUGGAGGGCACAAGGAGAAGGGGACGACAGAGGAUGACAUGGUUGGAUAGUGUUCUCGAAGCUACCAGCAUGAGUUUGACCAAACUGCGGGAGGCAGUGGAAGACAGGAGUGCCUGGCGUGCUCUGGUCCAUGGGGUCACGAAGAGUUGGACACGACUAAAUGACUAAACAACAACAACAUGCAGAAGAUAGAGGAUCACAGAGGGAUUCCAGUCAUAUAAAUUGGGAGGCUAGACUGAUGGGGACAGGAUGACAUGCAGACAGAAGUGGCUCAAACUCUCCCUGCACCUUUUUCCAUCCUCCCACUUAUAAUAUUUAUAAUGAAGAAAUAAAGCUAGAGCACAGGGACUAAGUGAAGAAUGUGGGAGUCAUGAUAGAUGCAAUGGCAGCCAGAGCAAUCUGGGCAGUAAACACUGAGAAAGCAUCUCAGGACUCUAUUGACACAGUGGGAGGAUGGAUGAGAUAACUAUUAAGGCACCCAGGGCGGCAGGACUUUUCUUUUUGCCUAUAAAGCAAACAGUGGCAGCAUCUGAAAACUCUCGGUUUGAUUUGUCUGGGUUUCCAUAGCACUCUCUUUCUGCCUCUGGUGACUAAAAUAUUCCCAUUUGAAUCAAUAGAGUCUUUGCUUCCCUUGAAAAUAUGCCCACUGCUCAUUUCAGUCAAGUCGUUUCUAUCCAUCAAGUCAAGUAGUUCCAUCUCUGAGCUCAUGACACUUAAAUUUCCUACAGAUGAGGUGGGAUAGUAAAAAAGAAAAAAGGAGGGGGAGGGAAUUGGUCUUGGAAUCAAAACUAUAUGAGUGAAGAGGUCUGAGCUGGAUUUGAUGCUAUUGGUGGACAAUGUUUGUGUGUGACAGAGAGAGAGAUGUGGAGAGAGACAGGGUGAGCAAGAGUGUUUACACUAGGGAUUGGGUAUCUAUGACCCCUGACCAUUCAUUGAUGGACUAUAGCAUCCCUGAUCUUUGGCAGUUCUGGCUGGAGGUGAUGGGAUAUGGGAGGCCAACAAAAUCUGGAGGGCCAAACAUUCUCCAUCCCUGGUUUACAGAACAAAUAUGGAUGUUUGGUGAGCUGGGUCUGAGAACAGAUACAUGUAGCAUGUUCUUCCAAUGGAAAUGUAUGUUUACCAUUAGGAUGGCGUCCUGAAGUUGCAUAAAGCGUGUACUCCAUCAUCUAGGGAUAUGCAAGAUGCCUGGGAAGAAGUGCUUGAAUUGAAGGAGGUCCUUCACUGCUAUUUCUUUUUCUCCCUUCAAAAGCGUGCAGAGGAGGAACUGCCAAGAGUGACACUCUUUCCCACUUUGUCUUUCAUAUCUAUGCACUUUUCAAUACUCAGAUUAAUUCUACUGGAGCUGGUCCACACACACUAGAGAGAGAGAGAGAGAUUGAGAGAUCACUUGUAGAUGCAAAGUGAGUGGCUGUGCACCUACUUUCUCUUUUUUCAGGUUCUCUGGGGUGGGGAGGCUUAUCACAGGGGACAGAGGGGGGCACCCAUGUCUUUCACACAAAAUUCCAAAUGUGGACAUGGGUUGAAAAAGAUUAGCAUUGCCUAUCCUGUGUUGUUAUGGGACGCAGGUGGCGCUGUGGGUUAAACCACAGAGCCUAGGACUUGCCGAUCAGAAGGUCAGCAGUUCGAGUCCCCACAAUGGGGUGAGGUCCCGUUGCUCGGUCCCUGCUCCUGCCAACCUAGCAGUUUGAAAGCACGUCAAAGUGCAAGUAGAUAAAUAGGUACCGCUCCUGCAGGAAGGUAAACGGCGUUUCCGUGCGCUGCUCUGGUUCGCCAGAAGCGGCUCAGUCAUGCUGGCCACAUGACCCGGAAGCUGUAUGCCGGCUCCCUCGGCCAAUAAAGCGAGAUGAGCGCCACAACCCCAGAGUCAGCCAUGACUGGACCUAAUGGUCAGGGGUCCCUUUACCUUUUAUCCUGUGUUGUUGGCAUCCAUCCAUCUCAAGAGACAGUGGAGUACACUUCCAGGGGUGAAGUUAAAGCUCUGCAAUAGCAGCACCAAGUGAUCUCCCUGGGGUGCAAGCCUGGGCAGUGUGUAUGGAGGUCCUAGAUUGCCCAGAUGACAAGACCCCUCUCUCAGCCUUGCUCAUGUGGUCCAAAGGAAAGCAGAACAAUACGUUUGGCACCAGCUUGGCUGCAGGAAUUGUCAGGAGGAUGCAUACAAGAUUCCCCCCAACUGUCUUUGUAACUCCACUCUGGAUUUGUGUAGGGUUUACUCAGUAGCCUUUUUCUCCAGAAGGCAAUGGAAGUUUAGGAUCAGAGUUUUCCUUCUUUCUCCUAGAUGGGCUAUCUUCCCAGGUUGAUGAGCCCCAUUUGCCCCUCACUUCCCUCUACACAGCAUGUGCAGAAACCUCCUCCUUGACUGUUGAACCCACUGUUAGUCUUGUCCACCAGAGCCUGUCUUUGCAUGCAGGGGAAGCUCCUAAUUCACUGAAGGUUUGAGACCCAUCAGCUACCCUCACUUGGUUUAGCCGGCCAGUCAAAGCCAUUCCCAGGGUGUGGCUGCUGUCACAUGCUGACAGCUUCUAGGAGCCACAAGUGAGAGCUGAGUACAAAAGUGGACAAAGUACCCCAGAAGGAGCACAAUGUAUGUCCCCCACCAGAGGUCCUACUCCUCCCCUAACACCUUCUGAUAUUAGCAAUGUCUCAGUUCAGUUACAGUUCCUCAGCAUUUCCAUGCAUGGAAAUUUUGCCCACAUACCUCUGUGGUUUAGGAAGUUUUUAGCUAGUUGUUCCACAUGAGAUCACAAGAAUAUCAUUUUUAAAAAACGACAAGAGAGUAUUUGCUGAAUAAAAGUACCAAGGAAAAAAAAUGUAGAUUCUGGUAAGCUUCCCACAGUCUUGGAACACAAUUACCUAUGAAUAAAAAUCUGAAUUCCACAGUGGGCCCCAAAAUCUAGUAAAGUUGUGAGUAAGAGAAAUGCCUGAGUUGCUAUUCCCCUCGGCGUGACACUUUUGAUCAAUCCAAGACUUCCAGUUCCUGGGACUGACAGUUUAGCAUUAAGUUAACUCUGAAUGAAUGAAUUGAAUUAGCCAGUCCCUUUGUGGAAAGAUGGAGGAUUCUUGAGACAUUGCUUCAUGGGGUAUUGAGAAAAGGCAGCUCAUAAACCAGCGAGGAACUUCACGGUGGCGAGCACAACAAAGCCCAGAGCACAGGCUUUUGCCUGUCGUUGCUUUGCAGCAAAGACAAGCAAGUCAAAAUUUUUAGCCUUCUGUCGUUCCACCAACAAAUUAAAACUAAUUGAAUGAUCCCCACCAUUCAUGAAAGGUCCGUGAUUGUUCCUCGCGAUUGUUCCGAGAAGUGCCAGCUCCCACAAAGCCGCCUUUGUCAUCAUUAAUACAAAACCGCCCUGCGCACGCUCUUCCUUGCAGAGAUAAAGAGGGAAGGGGGAGAGACAGAGAGAGAAAGAGAGAGAGAGAGAGAGAGAGAAGACACAAUUUGUUAUCAGGUUUAGAAGAUGCAAUUGGAAGGAUGAUUAUAAUAUCAUCAUCUGGGUUUCAGCUGUCCCUGCUCAUUCAGACAGGCAGGCUGAAAUAUGAAGUGACAAAACACACAGAAACCCUUCAUUCUUGUUUGCACACAAACAUUUCCAUAACUAGCAAUUUUGUGGAAAGAGACUCGGGGGGGGAGGAAGAAGCAUAAAUGGAAAGAGGGUGGAACAGAUAUUAGACUCAAUAGGGCAGUUUAACUGUUACUAUAACAGCAUAGCGGCUUUGCAUGAAAACAGCAGAUUUCAGAAGAGGCCCAAAGGGGUUAAAAUGAUGCAUUUCUUUGUUCCCAUUGUUGAUCUCAGACAUUUUUUUUUUGUAUAUGCUCUCUCUACCCCCCCUCCUUUAAUAUAGCCAUAACAUUACAUUAAUUCAUCUAACACAUGCCAUGCCACGAAGUUGCUCUCUCUUUCUCUUAAUUAUUGUGAUCAAAAUAUGGCUUCAAAUGGAAGGCAGCUGCAUUUGUAUCCGUCAGAUAUCAUAAUUGCGACCGUAAAUUGGGAAACAGAACAUUUCCUGGUGUUUUGCCGUGAGUAAUGGGACCAGAAUCAUUAUGGAUGGAGGGAUAUAAAUAAACUGGGGCAGAUCUAUAAAACUAAGGAAAAGCAAGUUAAAAGGAUAAUUACUGGAGCAAACAGGAACAGUGUAAAUGCAGAACAAGGUGAUAUUUCAUUGCACAGUCAAAAUUCCCUUUAAAUCAGGGGUAGGGUAUAUCAGGACCAGGGGGUGAAUGUGGUCCUCCAGGUAUUUCUAUGGCCCCUGGAUCAAAUAACCUCUCCCUAGGCCACCAGCUCUACUCUGUGUCUUUCUCAUUCUUUGCCUGGCUGGAAAACGUAUACCCUGCAAAUAAAGUGUACUAUUUAAGUGCCUUGUUUUUCAUAAUAGCUCUUUAUAUUGUGUGUUCAGACGACAUGCCUUUCCCAUGACUGAAUGGAGGAUGGACAGGAGUGUGUGCUAGAAACCUCCGGCUCUUACAUGGACAGAAGGAACACAAUUUGCCAUUAUGUUCAGUGAUGCCUACGCUGAUCGGCAGCAGCUCAGACAGAGAAUGAUUCUUCACCUGAUAUUUUUAACUGGAGACCCAGGGACUUUCUGCAUGCAGAUCAAGUGCUAAUGGAUGGCUCCUCUGUGUUGGGGUAGGUAUUCAGGGUAAAGUCAAAGGCACUCUGUACAUGUUCAGGGGCAGAGGUAUUUCAUAUCAGCUGCCCUUUGAUUCAUCUAAUGGUAGAUGCUGGGGCGUGAACUUGGGACCUUUUGUGGGCACAGCAGGUGGUCUCCUACUCAGCUGAAAGAUCUCCUGUCUUUUGGUAACAAUCAUCCUGCAAAGCAAAAAAAUGUGUGCUCUUUUGAGCAUGAAAAGACUGAGCCAGGCUAGCUGGAAGUAUUGACGAGAAAACAAGGGGUGGAAAUUAACAAAAGCUUAACAAUCAUUUAUUUCCUUUUGUUUGUUUUGCUUUUCAAUUUCCAGAACUGGAGAAGAGCCAGACUAGCAGCAGGGACUAUCUCUGGGCCUGGAAAGAUAGCAAGUAAUUAGAGCACAUUCAGAUCGAGAACAUCAACAAGUUUGGAAGCAGUGGCAGACCGUGGGGUCUCAAAUUUCAGCAGCACCAUGUUCAACACCAAAAUUCUCUCUCUCACCCCCCUCUUGCCUUCCAUUCUACACCAGAAUUGUGGCACCCUUUGGCAUGGGUGUAGCCAGGAUUUAUGUUGGGGGGCGGGACAGCGCAAGACACUCUGCCUGGCUCUGUCUAGCAGAUUCAGAAUGAAAUGUCUCAACAGCAGUUCUUUUCAAUUCUUUCUUUUGACCCC
This 13079-nucleotide long non-coding RNA is filed under the name Podarcis lilfordi (Lilford's wall lizard). The record is from RNAcentral. Lineage: Eukaryota; Metazoa; Chordata; Lepidosauria; Squamata; Lacertidae.